This 253-nucleotide ribosomal RNA is filed under the name uncultured bacterium. Its description in RNAcentral is "partial 16S ribosomal RNA". It matches the Rfam family "Bacterial small subunit ribosomal RNA", at positions 524 to 776 of the family's 1533-position model. The record is from RNAcentral.
UACGUAGGUGACAAGCGUUGUCCGGAUUUACUGGGCGUAAAGAGCGCGUAGGCGGUCGAUCAAGUCGAGUGUGAAAGCCCCCGGCUCAACUGGGGAGGGUCAUUCGAUACUGAUCGACUCGAAGGCAGGAGAGGGUAGUGGAAUUCCCGGUGUAGUGGUGAAAUGCGUAGAUAUCGGGAGGAACACCAGUGGCGAAGGCGACUAUCUGGCCUGUUCUUGACGCUGAGGCGCGAAAGCUAGGGGAGCAAACGGG